Molecule: ribosomal RNA, 255 nt
Filed under: uncultured bacterium
Lineage: Bacteria
Description: partial 16S ribosomal RNA
Rfam family: Bacterial small subunit ribosomal RNA
Source: RNAcentral
UACGUAGGGGGCAAGCGUUGUCCGGAUUUAUUGGGCGUAAAGAGCGUGUAGGCGGCCAAACAGGUCAGCUGUGAAAACUCGAGGCUCAACCUCGAGACGUCGGUUGAAACCGUUUGGCUAGAGUCCGGAAGAGGAGAGUGGAAUUCCCGGUGUAGCGGUGAAAUGCGCAGAUAUCGGGAAGAACACCCGUGGCGAAGGCGGCUCUCUGGGACGGUACUGACGCUGAGACGCGAAAAGCGUGGGGGAGCGAACAGG